RNAcentral lists this ribosomal RNA (553 nucleotides) under Nannobrachium atrum. RNAcentral describes it as "partial 16S ribosomal RNA". It matches the Rfam family "Bacterial large subunit ribosomal RNA", at positions 1845 to 2596 of the family's 2925-position model. The record is from RNAcentral. Lineage: Eukaryota; Metazoa; Chordata; Actinopteri; Myctophiformes; Myctophidae.
AUAAGAGGUCCCGCCUGCCCUGUGACUAUAUGUUUAACGGCCGCGGUAUUUUGACCGUGCGAAGGUAGCGCAAUCACUUGUCUUUUAAAUGGAGACCUGUAUGAAAGGCACCACGAGGGCUUAGCUGUCUCCCCUUUAAAGUCAAUGAAAUUGAUCUCCCCGUGCAGAAGCGGGGAUAUGCUCGUAAGACGAGAAGACCCUAUGGAGCUUAAGAUACAAGGCGAGUCGUGUCAAACACCCCCUUAAAGGAAAUGAACGAAGUGAACUCCGCUGGAAUGUCUUCGGUUGGGGCGACCGCGGGGAAAGACAAAACCCCCACAUGGACCAGGGCCACUAUAGCCCUAAAACCCAGACCCACAGGUCGAAUCAACAGUAAAUCUGACCACCAAAGAGCCGGCAAUGCCGAUCGACGGACCAAGUUACCCUAGGGAUAACAGCGCAAUCCCCUCCCAGAGCCCUUAUCGACGAGGGGGUUUACGACCUCGAUGUUGGAUCAGGACAUCCUAAUGGUGCAGCCGCUAUUAAGGGUUCGUUUGUUCAACGAUUAAAGUCC